RNAcentral lists this ribosomal RNA (253 nucleotides) under uncultured bacterium. RNAcentral describes it as "partial 16S ribosomal RNA". It matches the Rfam family "Bacterial small subunit ribosomal RNA", at positions 524 to 776 of the family's 1533-position model. The record is from RNAcentral.
UACGAAGGGAACUAGCGUUGUUCGGAAUCACUGGGCGUAAAGCGGGCGCAGGCGGACUAUCAAGUCAGAGGUGAAAUCCCAAGGCUUAACCUUGGAAUUGCCUUUGAAACUGAUAGUCUGGAGUGUGUGAGGGGGUAGCGGAAUUCCGAAUGUAGAGGUGAAAUUCGUAGAUAUUCGGAGGAACACCGGUGGCGAAGGCGGCUACCUGGCACACAACUGACGCUGAGGCCCGAAAGCGUGGGGAGCAAACAGG